This 72-nucleotide transfer RNA is filed under the name Gemmuloborsonia moosai. Its description in RNAcentral is "tRNA-Lys". The record is from RNAcentral. Lineage: Eukaryota; Metazoa; Mollusca; Gastropoda; Neogastropoda; Turridae.
UCUUAGAUGACCGAGAAAUAAGUGCUAGACUUUUAAUCUAGAGACGGCAAAAUAUAUAUAUGCCUCUAAGAG